GGCCUGUUGGCGCAGUCGGAAGCACGCCCACGUAAUCUACACACUGUGGGCAUCAUCUUAUGCAGGAGGCCCCGGUUUGACCCCGGGACAGGUCA
Molecule: non-coding RNA, 95 nt
Organism: Mycena rebaudengoi
Lineage: Eukaryota; Fungi; Basidiomycota; Agaricomycetes; Agaricales; Mycenaceae
Source: the annotation of a GenBank genome assembly